RNAcentral lists this ribosomal RNA (460 nucleotides) under uncultured bacterium. RNAcentral describes it as "partial 16S ribosomal RNA". It matches the Rfam family "Bacterial small subunit ribosomal RNA", at positions 338 to 795 of the family's 1533-position model. The record is from RNAcentral.
CCUACGGGGGGCAGCAGUGAGGAAUAUUGGUCAAUGGACGCAAGUCUGAACCAGCCAUGUCGCGUGCAGGAAGACGGCUCUAUGAGUUGUAAACUGCUUUUGUACGAGGGUAAACGCAGAUACGCGUACCUGUCUGAAAGUACCGUAUGAAUAAGGAUCGGCUAACUCCGUGCCAGCAGCCGCGGUAAUACGGAGGAUUCAAGCGUUAUCCGGAUUUAUUGGGUUUAAAGGGUGCGUAGGCGGUCGGAUAAGUUAGAGGUGAAAUCCUGAGGCUCAACCUCGGAAUUGCAGCUGAUACUGUUCGUCUAGAGAGUAGUUGCGGUAGGCGGAAUGUAUGGUGUAGCGGUGAAAUGCUUAGAGAUCAUACAGAACACCGAUUGCGAAGGCAGCUUACCAAGCUACUUCUGACGUUGAGGCACGAAAGCGUGGGGAGCAAACAGGAUUAGAUACCCCAGUAGUC